This 435-nucleotide ribosomal RNA is filed under the name uncultured bacterium. Its description in RNAcentral is "partial 16S ribosomal RNA". It matches the Rfam family "Bacterial small subunit ribosomal RNA", at positions 29 to 507 of the family's 1533-position model. The record is from RNAcentral.
AGCGAACGCUGGCGGCAGGCUUAACACAUGCAAGUCGAGCGGGCACUUUCGGGUGUCAGCGGCGGACGGGUGAGUAACGCGUGGGAACGUGCCCUCUGGUUCGGAAUAACUCAGGGAAACUUGAGCUAAUACCGGAUACGCCCUUUUGGGGAAAGGCUUGCUGCCGGAGGAUCGGCCCGCGUCUGAUUAGCUAGUUGGUGAGGUAACGGCUCACCAAGGCGACGAUCAGUAGCUGGUCUGAGAGGAUGAUCAGCCACACUGGGACUGAGACACGGCCCAGACUCCUACGGGAGGGAGCAGUGGGGAAUAUUGGAAAAUGGGCGCAAGCCUGAUCCAGCCAUGCCGCGUGAGUGAUGAAGGCCUUAGGGUUGUAAAGCUCUUUUAUACGGGACGAUAAUGACGGUACCGGAGGAAUAAGCCCCGGCUAACUUCGUG